GCUGCUAAGUAGGAGAUGAAGACGACCAUGAUGUUACAGGCCUGCUAUCCCUGGAAACCACCUUUGGUGACUGGGUAUCUCGAAUGACUCGGGCUUCUUGGAAAGGCCUCGUUGGGUAGCCGCCGGGAUGGUCUCCUGUCUACCUUACUUCCACGGCAACCUGGAAUAAGCCAGUAUUUAUGGAGAUGAUACAAGUGGGUCUCUAUUCCUUGAAGUCCAAAGGAAUCUAGCUAAUACAACGAGUCUGUCUGCAGGUCAGGGAGGAAGGUGAUAGCCCGCAAGUGAGCCUCACAUUUCCAUAGCAGGAGACCUCCUCCAGAGGUUCCCCUCUCUCAUUCUGCGGUAAAUCUGAGAUGCCAAGAAGGAUCCCACCGCUCCACUGAGAAGACACUGAAGCCACUAACUAGUCAUACAAAGACAUCAUCUACAACACAGGGAAGACAGACAGGUCUAGCUUUAAUUCUUUUUUACAAAGGCAAGUCAUUCACUUUGGAAAUAGAAAGUAGAAACAUCUUUGGCUCUGCGUCUUGGACAAUGUUGAACUAUGAUCAAUAUUUAGGAAGUGUUUUCAGCCACACAUAUAAUGGCCACAGAGUGAAAGGAACAAACAGGACUCGUAUUUUGUUGUCAAGUGUGUGUGUCAUCAGCAUGCACUGGAGGGCGGGGGUCCUCAAUAAACACCACCAACUCUGGUAGCUGGGCAGGCUGUAACAAAGCACCAUGUUCUGGCAUGGACCCCAACGGCCACCUGAGGGAAGAGGGCCUUCACAGCUGACUGUGCAUCUGUGCCAAGGGAAGGCGGUUGGAAUGAAGAACGGCGUCCGUUUUCCGCUCCUCCAGAUGUCCACCUGUGUGAGAUCUGAACAAAGAAAGCUGAACUGGAGAACAUCAGCCUUCACGAUCCAGCUCCCCUGCCGGAGCCUCUGCCAACAUCCCUAGCAUCCGAGAGCCUGAAGAACUUCACCGAUUUGCAUCACUCCAGAACCUGUGGGGCCAGAUCCCAAAUAAAUGAGAAGGGAUCCCGUACCAAGACUGCUUGCAUGGCAACACACAAAUGCGCCUCUUGAGAAGGAGCAGGAACAAAAAUUAAGAUCCCAUUUGACCUAAGCGUAGUUAACUAUUCACUCUGUAUCCGGCUAGAAGAUAAUGGAGCAAACAAGAAUUGCUGAGUCCCAAGGCACAGCAGACGUGGGAGGCAGGGGGCAAGAAAGGGUGUGGCAGAAAGCCUUUUGGUUCCGGGGAUGGAGCGGGGAAUCUAAGAGCAGGCAGCAGCAGAGGAAAUGGUUUCCAGGAGAAAGGACGAGGUCUGGGAUCACGGCGUCUUCUCCAGCUAUAGGUCACCUCCAGCUCCUGCUGGUCAACACACAGACCAUUCCUCAGUCUCUGAGGGUCUUUGCUUUCUCCUCAAAUGUCUUCUCAAAUCCAGAAGUUUCCUUAGUCUCCAAAAUAAGAAUUCUCAAUCAGAUCCAG
RNAcentral lists this long non-coding RNA (1470 nucleotides) under Equus caballus (horse). RNAcentral's name for it is "lncRNA (ENSECAG00000055167.1)". The record is from RNAcentral. Lineage: Eukaryota; Metazoa; Chordata; Mammalia; Perissodactyla; Equidae.